CCCUUAGACGUUCUGGGCCGCACGCGCGCUACACUGACGAAGGCAACGAGCUUUCGAUCUUGCCCGAGAGGGUUGGAUAAUCUUUUUAAAGUGCAUCGUGAUGGGGAUAGAUUAUUGCAAUUAUUAAUCUUCAACGAGGAAUUCCUAGUAAGCGCGAGUCAUCAGCUCGUGCUGAUUACGUCCCUGCCCUUUGUACACACCGCCCGUCGCUCCUACCGAUUGAGUGUUCCGGUGAAUAAUUCGGACUGCGGCUGAUUGGGGACUCUUCAGUCGGCUGUGGAAAGUCUAGUGAACCUUAACACUUAGAGGAAGGAGAAGUCGUAACA
Molecule: ribosomal RNA, 326 nt
Filed under: uncultured eukaryote
Lineage: Eukaryota
Description: partial 18S ribosomal RNA
Rfam family: Eukaryotic small subunit ribosomal RNA
Source: RNAcentral